AUUUUAAAAUUAAUAUAUUGCAAUUAAAUACUUUUGUUUCAUAUUUCUUGAUCUAUUAAAAAAAAGCUUUUCCUAAACUUAACUUGACCUUGCUAGUUCUUUUCCGUUCAGCUACCGCGAUUGGAACAUGUCUUAUUCACCUGAAAGAAGAUCGGAGGAUUGGCCGGAGGAUCCUAAAAAUGGGCCAUCAAAGGAACAAGUUAGUUUUGACGGACCACCGGGCCUGGAGCCUGGCGGCGCCCUCGACACUAACUGGCAUGAAGUCGUGGAAAGCUUCGAUGACAUGAAGUUGAAGGAGGAGCUGUUAAGGGGAAUUUACGCCUAUGGUUUUGAAAAGCCUUCGGCCAUACAGCAGCGCGCUAUUAUGCCUUGCAUCCAAGGCCGCGACGUUAUAGCUCAAGCCCAGUCGGGAACUGGCAAAACUGCCACUUUCUCGAUAUCAAUUCUACAACAAAUUGACACCACUGUACGUGAGUGUCAAGCUCUUAUUUUAGCUCCAACUAGAGAGUUGGCACAACAAAUUCAAAAGGUGGUGAUAGCUCUUGGUGACCACUUAAAUGCUAAAUGCCAUGCUUGUAUUGGUGGUACCAAUGUGCGUGAAGAUAUCCGUCAGUUGGAAAGUGGUGUUCACGUUGUGGUGGGCACUCCUGGCCGUGUAUAUGACAUGAUAACUCGUCGUGCACUGCGUGCCAAUACAAUCAAGUUGUUUGUCCUUGAUGAAGCUGAUGAGAUGUUAUCCAGAGGGUUCAAGGAUCAAAUUCAUGAUGUAUUCAAGAUGCUGUCUGCUGAUGUCCAGGUCAUACUUCUCUCUGCUACAAUGCCUGAUGAUGUGUUAGAGGUUUCCAGAUGUUUCAUGAGAGAGCCUAUCCGCAUCCUUGUGCAAAAGGAGGAGCUAACAUUGGAAGGUAUAAAGCAGUUCUUCAUAUCAAUUGAGCUUGAAGAAUGGAAAUUGGAUACACUUUGUGAUUUGUAUGAUACACUAUCCAUCGCUCAGGCUGUAAUCUUCUGCAACACACGUCGCAAGGUGGACUGGCUCACCGAGUCUAUGCACGAGCGUGAUUUUACGGUGUCGGCUAUGCACGGCGACAUGGACCAGCGCGAACGCGAAGUGAUCAUGCGGCAGUUCCGUACGGGCUCCUCCCGUGUGCUCAUCACCACCGACCUGCUGGCACGAGGCAUUGAUGUGCAACAAGUCUCGUGCGUCAUCAACUACGACCUGCCCACUAACCGCGAGAACUACAUUCAUCGGAUCGGAAGAGGUGGCCGUUUCGGUCGUAAAGGAAUCGCCAUUAAUUUUGUAACUGAAGCUGACAAGAGAGCGUUGAAGGACAUUGAGGACUUCUACCACACAACUAUUACCGAAAUGCCCAAUGACGUGGCCAACCUCAUCUAAGGCGCCGGCGCAUUCCAGUUUAUAAUUUGUGUCCUGCAUUCUAUUGCGAUAUUUAACGAAAAUCUACCAACUGAGCUGUUGAAACGCACUUUGGACACAACUAUGUGGAAAUAAUAAAUCAAAUUUCCUCUAAGUCAUUACUUUCUUUUUGCAGGUCCUUUAUGUAUCCUGUGUUCCCAUACUGCUAUUAAUUUUCUACAUGGUUUUAUGUUGCGAAUUAUUUAUAUUUUUGGAAUAAAUUUUCUUCGAAUGAUACGAAGUUGGUAAUUAAGGUUCCUAUUUUAAAGUGCGAAAACAUACUUAUUAACUACACUAAUAAUUAUAAUCUUGACAUAAAAAUAAUAAACUUAAUAUAAUUAUGUUUGUACACUAGGUACUAAAGGUAUUUUCAAACACUUCAUGUAUACCACUUGGAUUUCAAUAAUCUAUUAUCAAUUACCAUAAUAACAAUAAUUGCCCUAAAUGUUACAUAAAGGCUACAUAUUCAA
Pararge aegeria (speckled wood butterfly) is the source of this 1881-nucleotide RNA transcript. It is a transcript of the gene named eukaryotic initiation factor 4A, with no coding region annotated. The transcript is spliced from 8 exons. The record is from RefSeq and is a predicted model, not a curated record. Lineage: Eukaryota; Metazoa; Arthropoda; Insecta; Lepidoptera; Nymphalidae.